RNAcentral lists this ribosomal RNA (375 nucleotides) under uncultured bacterium. Its description in RNAcentral is "bacterial SSU rRNA". It matches the Rfam family "Bacterial small subunit ribosomal RNA", at positions 29 to 416 of the family's 1533-position model. The record is from RNAcentral.
AAUGAACGUUGGCGGCGUGGAUUAGGCAUGCAAGUCGAGCGAGGAAAGUUGUAGCAAUACGGCUUAUUCGAGCGGCGUAAGGGGCAGUAAUACCUGGGAACGUACCCUUUGGUCGGGGAUAGCUGCUGGAAACGGCGAGUAAUACCCGAUGAACUCGAGAGAGCAAAGGCUUGCCGCCGGAGGAGCGGCCCAGGCGAUAUUAGCUAGUUGGUGGGGUAAUGGCCUACCAAGGCUUAGAUGUCUAGCGGGUGUGAGAGCACGACCCGCGCCACUGGCACUGAGACACUGGCCAGACACCUACGGGUGGCUGCAGUCGAGAAUCUUCGGCAAUGGGCGAAAGCCUGACCGAGCGACGCCGCGUGCGGGAUGAAGGCC